This 105-nucleotide ribosomal RNA is filed under the name uncultured bacterium. RNAcentral's name for it is "partial 16S ribosomal RNA". It matches the Rfam family "Bacterial small subunit ribosomal RNA", at positions 1378 to 1482 of the family's 1533-position model. The record is from RNAcentral.
CCGUUGUACACACCGCCCGUCACACCAUGGGAGCGGGUUCUGCCAGAAGUGGGUAGCCUAACCGCAAGGAGGGCGCUUACCACGGCAGGGUUCGUGACUGGGGUG